CCAGGAACAAUAAAAUGGUAUAAUAAUGAUGGUGUCUGACCGGCGCACCACUGUGAGUGGCAAAUACAAGGAACAACCCAAGGGUAGCCUGGAGCUCCUCCCAGUCUUUGAGGGUGUCGAAAACACGCUUUUGUUUUGUCGAGCAGUAUACGCUGGUAAUGUGGCAGGGCUGUGUGGAGACCUUUUCAGCAGGAGGGGCUCAAAGUGAGAAAAGGGCACACCAACAGACAAAGCUGUUUUACCACACCCAGUUAUCGAACAGAAUAGAUUUUACCAAAGUCAAUUAAUUUAAAUUAAGGAGAGCAACGAUAGUACAAACAUAAUUUUUAAAUUACAUUUGUCUGUAACACAGGUUAUGCAAGACUUUGAUUUGCCAUUUUGCCCCUUACACAGGUUAAAAGGAAUACAAUUGUGUAUGAUAAUCUGCUGGCUUUUGUGGUGUCCAUGCCUAAGGUUUGGUAAGAUUGCUGGUACUAUGUGGCCAUGGAGUACCUAGAAUGGCGUUGUAGCAAAAUGGCGGCCAGCGGGAUGGGUGCGGGAUAUCAUCCCGGACAGGCUCCAGCUGUCCUCAUGUACCCUUCUGCAGACUGUCCUGAAGGUGCUGUCCACAUUGAGGGAGAUCGCUUUGGGGAACAGCGUCCCCCGGCUGUACAACACGCCGUGCGAACAGUACAGCGAGGUCUGGAUGCAGCAGAGUCCAUGCAAUACCUCGCCAGGCACAAGCCAUUCCUCGACCCAGGUUCUACACAGCUCACAGUGGCCCCACCCCCACCAUGUACACGGCUGACAGCACCCCUUCUCCCGUUCCUACCGGUGCCAACAUGGCACAGCGCCAAGGAUCACAGGGUGGCAGAGGAAGACAACCGAGGAGACACCCCUGUACAGACCGUGGCAAGGCUAAAUGAAAAGGGUUUGGCCACCGCUGUUUCGGUGGCGUCUGGUUUUGUGCCAACAAGACUGUGGAGGAAUGGCUGGCAGAGAUUUGGGCUGCCAGAUUCACUGGGGAGGGCAGACAAUCCUCAGACACCCCCCAUUCUCCCCCACCCCUAAAAUCAUGAAGCAAUAAAAGAAAAUGUCAGAAUAUAACUAUCUGUAAAUCGUUGAGGUACAUAAGAAUCAUUAGCUCAGAAUUUGACAAUUACAUGAAGUAGUGACAAAAUUCUAUUGUGCAGCCUCUUGUAAGUGAAAUAUUUAGGAUUCCAAUCAGCCUUUAAACUGUGCUCAUGUGCAGUGAUGUCACCCAAGUUAAACUUUAGCCUUCAGCCAUUGUAUUUCAAAUGAGUUAAUCAAUACCAUUACACCAGAGAGAACAGGUUGCAAAAGCUCUGUGUUGAGACUGUUUAAAGGAAUCAAUAAGACACUGAAGUUCUUUAGUACUCAUAAAAGGCCGUUUAGAAUCAGACUGGUACUGAGCCAGCUCUUUUCAGCAAAAUAAUUAGGAGUUGUUUACGUAACAGGUGAGAAUCUCAGGCUACCGCUCUUGCACUUCUGCCAUAUACAGUAUAGCAGUUGGACUCAGAGACUGAUUUACAGUAUAUAUACACAGUACUGUAAUUUGCUAAUUUUGUUAAUUUUUUCAGUGAUCAAAUAAAUAACGAAC
Anguilla rostrata (American eel) is the source of this 1600-nucleotide long non-coding RNA. RefSeq lists it as uncharacterized. The record is from RefSeq and is a predicted model, not a curated record. The transcript is spliced from 3 exons. Lineage: Eukaryota; Metazoa; Chordata; Actinopteri; Anguilliformes; Anguillidae.